Molecule: unclassified non-coding RNA, 345 nt
Filed under: soil metagenome
Description: partial contains 5.8S ribosomal RNA, internal transcribed spacer 2, and large subunit ribosomal RNA
Rfam family: 5.8S ribosomal RNA (bases 1-119)
Source: RNAcentral
GAUGAAGAACGCAGCGAAAUGCGAUACGUAAUGUGAAUUGCAAAUUCAGUGAAUCAUCGAGUCUUUGAACGCACAUUGCGCCCCCUGGUAUUCCGGGGGGCAUGCCUGUCCGAGCGUCAUUGCUGCCCUCAAGCACGGCUUGUGUGUUGGGCCCCGUCCUCCGAUCCCGGGUGACGGGCCCGAAAGGCAGCGGCGGCACCGCGUCCGGUCCUCGAGCGUAUGGGGCCUUGUCACCCGCUCUGUAGGCCCGGCCGGCGCUUGCCGAUCAACCCAAAUUUUUAUCCAGGUUGACCUCGGAUCAGGUAGGGAUACCCGCUGAACUUAAGCAUAUCAAUAAGCGGAGGA